This 253-nucleotide ribosomal RNA is filed under the name uncultured bacterium. RNAcentral describes it as "partial 16S ribosomal RNA". It matches the Rfam family "Bacterial small subunit ribosomal RNA", at positions 524 to 776 of the family's 1533-position model. The record is from RNAcentral.
UACGUAGGGUGCAAGCGUUGUCCGGAAUUAUUGGGCGUAAAGAGCUCGUAGGCGGUCUGUCACGUCGGGAGUGAAAACCCAGGGCUCAACCCUGGGCCUGCUUCCGAUACGGGCAGACUAGAGGUAUGCAGGGGAGAAUGGAAUUCCUGGUGUAGCGGUGAAAUGCGCAGAUAUCAGGAGGAACACCGGUGGCGAAGGCGGUUCUCUGGGCAUUACCUGACGCUGAGGAGCGAAAGUGUGGGGAGCGAACAGG